GUAUUAACUGAUGAUUAUGGGGUUUUUGCUAAAGGACACAAGGAAAAUUUAUACUGUUGGAGGAUAAUGUCAAUGUAAAUCCUCGAACAAGUAAAAAGUUCGUAGUUCGUUUGCCAGUCAGUAAUUAAUAUCAUGAUAGGAAGGAUGUAUAGGUUGUUUUUGAUAUACAGUAUUGUUAAUUUAUCACCGACCGUAUCGUCAAGUGAUGGAAAUGUUAUAACAAGUGCCCCUGAGUCCUGUGCAUCCAGUCCUGAACAAGGAAACGGCAACAUACCGGCGUAUUCUUUGUACAUAUUGGGAACUAUAUCAAUACUCUUACUUAUAGCAUUGAUAGCAUUAAUAUUAUACGUCUUUUUAAGGCCGAAGUUCCAGAAGUUCCAUAUAACCACACAGCUGGAGAAUGGUGCCCAGUGCCCGACGUGUCAGAAAACGUCUGGUUCAAAAAGGGAAAGUGAAAAUAACCAAUCGAUAAUACGAAUAGAGAGUAAAUCUAUUACAACAAAUGAUUUUACAACAAACACUCUUCGCAGUCUUAAGAAACUAGAAGCAUCAAGUGACAAGUCUCCAAAGUUUACUAAAGGUGUCGCUAAAGAUUUAUCUUAUAUUUUACCUAACCAGAUCACGUCAAUUUGUAAAGAAGUGUUAAAACGUACUAAUGAGAACGAUUUAUCAAGCAGUCUUCAAAAAAUAGAUCAAUUAGUGAAUGAAGGAAAGCUCCAGGAAGCCACAUCUUCUAAAUGUGCAUCAAUUGCAUCUUUAGAUACUUAUGACACCCUUCCAAAAACCUACUGUGGUAGAAAGCUCAAUAAACAGAGAGGUGGAAAUAUCAAGACUAGUGGCAAAGUAAAACCAAAAUCAAACUGUGAAAUAUAUGACUUUCCUAAAGAACAAAAUUCAUUAUACGAUUUUCCGAAACGAGGUGAUGGUGUUAAAAUUAGUAAUAUUAGUGACAACAAUCCAAAAUCCAAUUUGGAAAUAUAUGACUUUCCUAAAGAACAUAAUUCUGUUCGCCAUUUACCGAAGUCAAAUGAUGGUUCAAGUGAUCGAAAUCCUGGAAUAUAUGACUUUCCUCCACCAUCUAAACAUUUAAAGUCGAAAUGUAAAACACCAGACUAUGGUCAGACAGAGGAUAAGUCAUUCAAGCAAAGUGUUAUUCGACCCGAAUCUAUAGAUGACAGUACAGAUAACAUUUACAUGAACGCAAAUGACAUAGAAAUGUUAUAAAAUAUUAUGACAAUAAUAUGUACUUUGCCAGUUUACGUAGAAGUUGGUUAGUUGGCAGCGAUUUUGACAGCCCAGACAGUGCAAGUGUUAUUUUAAACGUCAAACUUCUAUGAAAUUAUAAGACGUUUACUUAAUACUUGCACAGCCUGGGCUAUCAAAAUCGCUGCUAACUUAGCUUGGUCUGACUAUAGUAGUAACGUAUGUAACGUCCUAAUUUAAGCGUUUAAGAACCCGUUGUACAACAAGUAUCUCAAAAGCUUAAAAUCUUGUUAGUGUUAAUUAUAGGAAAGGAUUACAUAUAUACACAUACAUAGAAUGUGUAUAAUUGACACAACCUUGGCAUUAACUUGGCAUUACUAACACGAUAUGAAUUUUGUUCGACAUAAAUGAUUUUUGAUUGAUUUGAUUUAUGAUCCAUAAGUGAAACUAUGUCUACCUGUGUCUCACCUAUUUUCAUAAAUAUUAAUUUUGUUUAAUAUUGUAUUACUACUAAAAUUAAAUUCAGGAACUUAAAUAGACUAGCCUGGUAAGUUUGAAACCUCCUCGAAUUUUGCCCCGCCUACCAUUAAGUCAUUCGAGCAAACGCUGCCUCGCACAGCUAAACUGUGGAAUGAACUGUCGCCUGCGGUAUUUCCGGACCGAUACGACCUUCAAGAAAAGAGCGUACUCCCAUCUUAAAGGCCAGCAACGCACUUACAACCCCUCUUGUGUUGCAGGUGUCCAUGGGCGGCGGUAAUUACCAUCAGGUGAUCCGUCUGCUCGUUUGCCUCUUGUAUCAUUAAAAAAAACUAAUUUAAAAAAUAAAACCUAGAAUUUGUAAUACUAUAAUACCUAUGCCCAUGAAAAGACCUAACAUAUUGUGUCGAUCUACGUAUACAUGCUUAAUCUUAGUUUCGGCUCAUAGACUCUACCGGUGACCAGAGAGCUGGCAGCUUUCUCUCGCAGCGCAUAAGUAUUGCCAUUCAGCGAGGGAAUGCUGCCAGCAUCUUUGGCACAAUGCCGCGGGGGCCUUAUUUAGAUAUAUUUUAAUUUAGAUUAGUUUUUACCAUUUUGUUUUAUUAUGUGCUGUAUGUUUCCCAUUAAAUGUAAUUUUUAUUAUUAAUGAAAUAAACACAGUUUCCUGUAAAAUAUAUAAUAAUAUGUUGAUGACGGUUCUAUGGCUAAUGGGAUCCUUCUACUUAUUGUUUUUUUUUUAAUUAUUUACAUAAGAAUUUAAUAAAAAAAAUAUAUCAGGAGCGUAGACAACCGUGGAAGCAACUAACUUAUUUAGCAUAAUAAACAGUUGAAACUUUCUGUAUGUUUUUUACCGUUUUUAUAAUAAUAUUGUUAUUAUCAUAUGCCUUAAUUUGAAAUGAAAAACUUGACAUCUGAAUUUCACGCUAAUUAAUAUUUUGUAUUAUUUAGAAUAUUUAGAUGUGAAAAAACCCUAUAUUAUUAUACAUAUUAAUGUAUUGUUGCAUUUCUGGAAGUCCCAAUAUACUAACGGAAAAUCAACAUUCAUUGAAUUAUAUGCAAUUUUAUUGUCUUUAUAUAAUUUUGUACAAAUAGUAUUUAAAUUAAAAUAUCAGAGCUCAAACAGGGUGCGGAGUGUUAGGGUCAGCAACCUCUGGAGUUGCAGGCGUCCAAAAGCUACGGAGACAGCUUACCAGCAGACGGGCCGUAUGCUUAUGCGGGCAACCGCCACUGAUGUAAUAUAAAUAAACAAAAAUGGGCGGCAAACUGCUUCUUGCACGAUUAUCCGAGUCAUGGAAAAUAAGGAUUGGGUAUUAAGUUCAGCCCAUAAGUACUUGAUAAAAUUUAGGUAAGUAGGCCAGCCGGUAGCGGCGAGAUAACAGGCGAUUGACUAUUUUCUCUUAUAAGAUACGUAGGUAUAGCGAGCUGCAAAAGCGCAUGGACAAAUUAUGAAUGGAAUUUAUUCAUAAAGUGACCAUGCACCUGUGCCUCUAAGUCUCGAUGAUUGAUCGAGAUUUGAAAUCAAUUAUUUGACGGGAUGUAGAUCUAUACCCAAUAUUAGACUUUGCAUAUUUAUAAUUAAUUAAUUAUUAAGAUUAAGAGAAAAAAUACGUAUAGAGAAACUCGCCCACCGCAGCUUGCUUUUCGCAAGUCGUUGGUGUUGGGACUGAAUUAGGUAGUAUGUAAUUACCUACGUAAGUAAGUAUCUAAAUGAAAUAAAGAACCUAUGACGCAUCUUCAUGAGUUGGAAGGCAAGUACUUUGAACAUACCCAUGCGUAAGUAAACCUUUCAUCGUUCGCAAUUUAUACCUUUAGCUAGUCACGCACGAGGCGUCAAAGAGUCGAUCACAAUACAUUCGCACAAAUUCCUAAAAGUCAAACCAAUCGGUAAAGUAAUGUGGGGGAAAUUGCUUUCUUUGGUUGUAUUUAACAUGAUUUCGGGUACCUAAUGGAUAUGUUUUCUUGUAUAAGGAAAAAAUAUUGCUUCGGAAAUGAUGCAGACGUUUUUAUUGGCUUUCAAAAACCUGGUCUUUGCUUAAAUUCAAUGUGUUUUGAUGGGUCUACCAAAGUAAAAUGUCACGAAUAUAACAAACAUUUGUAUCUAUUUACAACAAAGGAUCGAUAGUUAAAUUGCUAACGUUUGUGUAUUUAUUAUAAAGGGUCAUAAGGAAAAUGUGAAAUGUGUCAUCAUAAUACAGUUGUCCUCUAACUAGUGAACUACAGUAACCAUUUAUUAAUCGGUGCGUUAAUUGUUCACUCGUCUACGAGUUAUUAUAUAGGUAGUAUCCAAUUACUAGUUUGACUAGAGGGAUGCAUACGUUAUUUGUGAUAUUCAGCAUUAUCAGUUUGUCAUUGCCGUUUAGUGCUUCUAUAUCAUGUCCUCCCUGUCUGAAAAAUGAUUACGAUAGGAUACCAGCAUAUAUCCUAUAUAUAUUGGGAUUAAUGUCGAUACUGCUUCUUAUAGUGUUGAUAACAUUAAUAUACGUGUUAUUGAAGACGAAGUUCCUGAAACGCAACCAUAAUACACAGCCUGCUGAAAAUUUUGAAGAAAGAGAUGCUCAGUGCCCAACGUGUCAGAAAACAACAGCGGGAGGAAUUCAUUUGGAAAUGAAUAACGGAGGUGUAAAAAAUGAAAACGAAAAUAUUUAUACUUUAAAAAGACAAGACAGUGAAGUUCUGAUAACAAAUGACUUCAACACUCUACGAAGUCCUAAGAAAUCCGAUGCUUCGGGCAAUGUUUCUCCAAGAAUUAUAAAAGGUGUUGCUAAAGAUUUACCAUAUAUAUUACCGGAACAAAUGACACUAAUUUGCAAAGAAGUAUUAAAACGUGCUGCCAAAAACGAUUCAAUAAACAGUCUUCAAAACAUAGAUCAAUUAGCGUAUGAAAACAAACCUAAGGAUGAAAUCGAUUUGAAAUGUGCAUCAACUCCAGCUUUAGAUUUGUGUGACACUCCUACAACACCCCACAGUGAUAGAAAAAAUCAAUCAGAUAAGAAUUGUUUUACAAACCCGGGAUCUAGAACUUCAAAUAUUAGUAAAGCGGAUGAUGGUUUAGAAAGUGGAAGUCAUUCAAGAGAUGACAAACUAGAACCCAGUUUAGAAAUAUACGACUUUCCUAAAGAACCAAAUAACAUAUACGAUACAAUUCCACGUGAGAAAAGUAAAAAAGUAGAAAAUUUAUUAGGCUACGUAACACCAUGUUUUGAAAAUGAAUUGUUAUCUGGACAUUUCAAGCCUAAACAGGAAAAGCAUAAUUAUGCCGAGAUAAAAGAUAUUUCAUCCGAACAAAGUACGAUUAAAAAUAAGUCUACAGAUUACAAUGAAUAUGAUAAUCCAAAGAAUGCAAAUGAAAUAAACAAAAUGUACAUGAACGCGAAUGACGUAAGAAUACCGUAAAAGAUUUGAUUACAAUGAAAUAUGACAGUUGCAUUUUACAUGUAUCCUGGAGGAGUCGUGCUAAGUAAUAUAUUUUAAAGGUGGAAAUGUUUUUAUCUAUAAACAUAUCGUAAAUAAUGGCCAACAUUACGAUAAACUGUUUUGUUACAACAAAUUUCUUAUCUGUGAUGAUGUUGUAAUUGCUUGAUAACUACAUCAAAAUCGAUUAGGUUAUACAUUCAAAUUUGGAACAUCGCUGAAUAAAAAAACAAUUCGAUUUGCCCUC
This is an RNA transcript of Cydia pomonella (codling moth), 5338 nucleotides long. RefSeq lists it as uncharacterized. Lineage: Eukaryota; Metazoa; Arthropoda; Insecta; Lepidoptera; Tortricidae. The record is from RefSeq and is a predicted model, not a curated record. The transcript is spliced from 3 exons.